UUUGGUGGUGAGCAAAAGCCAUUGAUCACUGCAAUUAGUUUAUGUUCAAGGUAUUGAACUUUAGCUUCUUCUUUUUUAUGAAUUUUAGUGAGAGGGCAUGCUUGAUAUUCAAUUUGAGAAUUGAACCUUCCAAACAAAAGUGAAGCUUAAAUAUUGACAUCUAUUGCUGUCAUUCUAUAAUAUUUUUGCUUCAAGUUAAAAUUUAGUGAUGAUAAAUAUUCUAUUAUGCUUAUGAAAAUUCUCUGGUCCGCAUAACAAAAAUGAAAAUGAAAGA
Arachis ipaensis is the source of this 274-nucleotide non-coding RNA. NCBI's taxonomy places the organism in Eukaryota, Viridiplantae, Streptophyta, Magnoliopsida, Fabales, Fabaceae. The record is from RefSeq and is a predicted model, not a curated record.